This 213-nucleotide ribosomal RNA is filed under the name Triticum aestivum (bread wheat). RNAcentral's name for it is "partial small subunit ribosomal RNA". The record is from RNAcentral. Lineage: Eukaryota; Viridiplantae; Streptophyta; Magnoliopsida; Poales; Poaceae.
UCACCUGACCUAGUAACCCAAUAUAGACCAAUUAGUCUAUGGAACAUUUUAUAUAAGAUCAUUUCCAAAAUGUUAGGUUCAAGGUUGAAAUGUAUCCUGCCUGAAAUAAUAUCUCCUACUCAGAGGGCUUUUGUCCUAGGAAGGCUGAUCAUAGGUAAUGUACUCAUUGCUUAUGAAUGUGUGAACAAAGUAAAAUCAUCUCCAAAAUGUUAG